Chiloscyllium plagiosum (whitespotted bambooshark) is the source of this 3026-nucleotide non-coding RNA. NCBI's taxonomy places the organism in Eukaryota, Metazoa, Chordata, Chondrichthyes, Orectolobiformes, Hemiscylliidae. The record is from RefSeq and is a predicted model, not a curated record.
GAAUUACAGUGAUCAUCAUCAACGUAGCCUGAAGUACAACAUUGAAGGACAGAAAUAUGCUGUUCCAGGGGGUCUUCUGAUGCAGUGGUAGCUUCCCUAUUGAGCACCAGAAACUCUUUGGUCGAGGUCCAUGCCAGGGCCUGUUGGCUAUGAAAGGAACAGUAAUAACAAGGCCAAAGAGUUUGAUGACCAGUCUGCAAAUCCUUGAAGGCGAGCAGGAUCGAUGAAACCUGAUUACCGAUGCUGGAAUCGAGGUCUGACCAGUAUGGGAAUGAGACCUGACCCCACGAUGACCUGAUAUCAAGGACGACCAACCAGACUGAUUGCAAGACCCCAUGGCCACGACUGGUGCUCAGAACCCUAUCAGAUGCAUUCAGUUACCUUGUGGAGAAGCUGACUUCACUCACCCACAUCUGGGAUCGACUACAAGCAGCCAUCUACCCAGGAAACGUGAGAGGUGGGUGAGACUGAAACUCCAAGGGUUCAAGCCCCCAUCCCCAACAUUCUCCUGGCAAACGUUCAUUGUGAACAAAAUGGAUGAACUAAAAGCUGGAUUCACUUUCCAAAGGGAAUUGAGAGAACUGUUGUGUGUUUUGCUUUACAAAGACAUGGCUCACUCCUGUUUCACCAGACUGUGCCUUACAACCUGACGGUUUCUCAAUGCACCGAAUGGACCACUCAGCAUCCUUGGGCCAGGCAAGGGGCACAGGGGUCUGCCUCCUGAUCAACACCUUUUGGUUCUCAGACGUGGCAAUCCUGGUAAGUCACUGCUCCCUGGACCUCAAAUAUCUAAAAGUGACAUGUCAUCCAUUCUAUCUGCCACGCGAGUUCACCUCCACUAUUCGCACAGUGGUCUACAUCGGACUGGAUGAGGAGUGAAGAGUAUACUUGAUGAAGUAUACAACACUACAAAGAGUCUUGAGAUGGAAUAUCCCGAAGCCUUGUUUGUCAUAGCCAGUGACUUCAACCAGGCCAACCUUAAGAAUAUGCUGCCAAAGUUCCAUCAACCCAUCUCCUGUCAACAUCAGAAGUCUGAACAUUCUUUACCAUUGCUGUACAACCAUCAAAGAUGCCUACUGUUCCGUUCCCCAUCUGCAUUUUUGAAAAUCAGACCACAACGCUGUGUUCCUCCUCCAGCAUAUGAGCAGAAAGUGAAGUGUGAGGACUCAGUACAGAAAGUGGUGCAGAGUCAGUCUGAGGAAUGGAUGGGCAGCUCAGUGUCAGUGGGCUAGUCCAUAUUCAAGAACUCAGUGAUCAACCUAAACGAGUAUGCCACUACCAUUAUGGACUUCAUUAGUAAGUGUAUAGAAGACUGUAUGCUGAAGAAGUUAACCUGAAUGUCCCCCAACCAGAAAUCAUGGAUGAAUUGGGAGAUCCAUUCCUCACUGAAAUCCAGGUCUAAGGCAUACAAAUUGAGCAACUCUAACCUAUACAGGAAAUCCAGGUGUGAGCUUCACAAGGCCAUUAGAGAUGCCAAGAGGCAAUACCAAACUAAGCUUGAGACCCAGACCAAUCACAUGGACACUUUCAGUUACAUAUGGGGAGCAGAGACCUGGAGUUUGGAGAUGAUUUGCUUGGAAUUACGGUGUUGAAGACGGAGCUGUAGUCAAUGAGUACGAGCUUGUUAUCCAGAUGUUCCAGGGAUGAGUGUAGGUGUCCAGGAAUUGGAGUGGAGAGCACAUCACUGUCUGCAUCAAUGGUGCUGAGGUGGAGAUAGUCAAGAGCGUCAAGUUUCUGUGAGUGAUGAUCACCAGCAAUCUGACCUGGUCCACCCGCAUUGACAUGAUGGUCUGGAAAACACAACAACAACUCUACUUCCUCAGGAUGCUAAGGAAAUUCAGGAAGUCCAUAAAAACUCUUAUAAAUUUUUGUAGAUGACCCAUAGAAAGCAGUCUAUCUGGGUGGAUCACAGCUUGGUAUGGCAAUUACUCUUCCCAUGACUGAAAGAAACUACAGAGAGUUGUGAACACAGCCCAGUCCAUCACGUAAACCAGCCUCCCAUCCACUCGCUCUUAUCGACACUUCCUGCUACCUCGGGAAAGCAACUAAAACAAUCAAGGACCCCUCCCACCCUGGUUCUACUCUCUUCCAUCAAGAAGAUAUAUAAGUUUGAGUAUACGGACAAACAGAUUCAAAAACAGUUCCUUCCCUGCUGUAAUCAGCCUUUUGAAUGGACCUCUUUAAUGUUAAUGUUAAUGUUGAUCUCUCUGCACCUUCUCUGUUGCUGUCACAUUGCAUUCUGCACUCUGUUGUGUUACCCUGGUGCAUUUGUAUAGUACGAGUUGUUUGUGAAGCACAUAAGAUAUUACCUUUUGCUGCACCUUGAUACAUGUGACUCUAAUAAAUCAAAUCAAAUCAAAUCAACAGGGGAUAAAGUCUUCAGCACCUGUGGUAACUCCUGUGUGCUUUCCUGCACUUAAGGUAAUUGAUAACACUUGAUUGAUGCAUGGAAAGUGCCUACAGUUACUUUAAUUGCUAUAAUUAGUAAUAUAUUUUAGAGAGAGAUACACAGACACACUGGACCAAGCAUCCAAUGUUUGAUUUUGUAAGUUAUCUAUAAGAGUUACAGCUCUCUUGGGCACUGCUGUUUAAAUUUUCUCGCUGAAUAAAGGCCCUUUGUAUUUACAGUCAAGUGGCUCCAGCAAAACUGAAGAUUUUGUCCAGCCCAUGUUGGCCUGAGUGGGUGGUGGUGAUGGGCACUUUCCUUGAACUGCAGCAGCUAUUAUGUAGUUGGAGCUCCCACGGCUGUAUUGUAAUGCAAACAUAAAAACUGUACUUCUGAUUGACUUGGCAAUGUAACAAUUUACAAUAAUAUUCUUCACCAGCCACAUGUUCAAAACACACAUGGACUUUUUCAAGCCUCCGAGGACUUUCUUAUGGAUGUCAUAAAAGUGAAAAAAUUAUAUUCAACCUUAAUUUUCCAGGAAAUCUAAACCUUUGGUGUGUAUAAAUAACAAACGAGGAAACAUUCGGGUUUAUAAUAUCACUGACCUGCGAAUAUUGCAUGGGAUAUUAAUUUGUAAGAA